This 301-nucleotide ribosomal RNA is filed under the name uncultured bacterium. RNAcentral describes it as "partial 16S ribosomal RNA". It matches the Rfam family "Bacterial small subunit ribosomal RNA", at positions 509 to 807 of the family's 1533-position model. The record is from RNAcentral.
CAGUCGCCGCGGUAAUACGAAGGGUGCAAGCGUUACUCGGAAUUACUGGGCGUAAAGCGUGCGUAGGUGGUGGUUUAAGUCCGUUGUGAAAGCCCUGGGCUCAACCUGGGAAUUGCAGUGGAUACUGGGUCACUAGAGUGUGGUAGAGGAUAGUGGAAUUUCCGGUGUAGCAGUGAAAUGCGUAGAGAUCGGAAGGAACAUCUGUGGCGAAGGCGACUAUCUGGGCCAAUACUGACGCUCAUGCACGAAAGCGUGGGGAGCAAACAGGAUUAGAUACCCCCGUAGUCCCUGUCUCUUAUAC